CCUACGGGAGGCAGCAGUGAGGAAUAUUGGUCAAUGGACGAGAGUCUGAACCAGCCAAGUAGCGUGAAGGAUGACUGCCCUAUGGGUUGUAAACUUCUUUUAUAAAGGAAUAAAACGAGGCACGUGUGCCUUUUUGCAUGUACUUUAUGAAUAAGGAUCGGCUAACUCCGUGCCAGCAGCCGCGGUAAUACGGAGGAUCCGAGCGUUAUCCGGAUUUAUUGGGUUUAAAGGGAGCGUAGAUGGGUUGUUAAGUCAGUUGUGAAAGUUUGCGGCUCAACCGUAAAAUUGCAAUUGAUACUGGCAGUCGUGAGUACAGUUGAGGUAAGCGGAAUUCGUGGUGUAGCGGUGAAAUGCUUAGAUAUCACGAAGAACCCCGAUUGCGAAGGCAGCUUAUUAAACUGUGACUGACAUUGAUGCUCGAAAGUGUGGGUAUCAAACAGGAUUAGAUACCCCUGUAGUC
This 460-nucleotide ribosomal RNA is filed under the name uncultured bacterium. RNAcentral's name for it is "partial 16S ribosomal RNA". It matches the Rfam family "Bacterial small subunit ribosomal RNA", at positions 338 to 795 of the family's 1533-position model. The record is from RNAcentral.